UACGUAGGGUGCAAGCGUUGUCCGGAAUUAUUGGGCGUAAAGAGCUCGUAGGCGGUCUGUUGCGUCGGCUGUGAAAACCCGGGGCUCAACUCCGGGCCUGCAGCCGAUACGGGCAGACUAGAGUUCGGCAGGGGAGACUGGAAUUCCUGGUGUAGCGGUGAAAUGCGCAGAUAUCGGGAGGAACACCUAUGGCGAAGGCAGCUCGCUGGGACGUUACUGACACUGAGACGCGAAAGCGUGGGGAGCAAACAGG
This 253-nucleotide ribosomal RNA is filed under the name uncultured bacterium. Its description in RNAcentral is "partial 16S ribosomal RNA". It matches the Rfam family "Bacterial small subunit ribosomal RNA", at positions 524 to 776 of the family's 1533-position model. The record is from RNAcentral.